RNAcentral lists this ribosomal RNA (5364 nucleotides) under Triticum aestivum (bread wheat). RNAcentral's name for it is "partial small subunit ribosomal RNA". The record is from RNAcentral. Lineage: Eukaryota; Viridiplantae; Streptophyta; Magnoliopsida; Poales; Poaceae.
AUGGCGGAGUUUGCCCUUGGGCUAACCAAGACGGCGGUGGAGGGGGCAGUCAGCAGAGUCAAGUCGGCAAUCGAGGAGGAGGCGAAGCUCAAGGUGCGCGUCCAGAAUGACCUGGUGUUCAUCACCGGUGAAUUCCAGAUGAUGCGGUCCUUCCUUAACGCCGCCAACUCGGAGCGCAACAAGAAUGAAGUCGUGAGGACAUGGGUGAGGCAGGUCCGCGACCUUGCCUUCGACGUGGAGGACUGUGUUGAGCUCGUGGUCAGCCUCGAUAACAAGUCCACCUGGUGGUGGCGCCUUGUGCCGUCCUGCAUCUGGACGGCUCCGCCGUUGCCAUUGGAUGUGGCAGUCACCGAAAUACAACAACUCAAGACCAGGGUGGAGGAUGUAAGCCAGAGGAACACCCGCUACAACCUCAUCAACCACUCCGACUCCAGCUCCAAUUCUGCAGCUACUAUUGUCUCCUCUCCAACGGAGGCGCUUAUGCCAGACAGUGCCUACCUCGGUGUAUCAUCAGCGUUCCACAUCCUAUGUGAUGUGUGGGAGGCCGCUGGGAAGAAGCGAGGUGGCACCGGUGAGCUCAAGGAGAUUAUCAACCGUGAAGGUAGCGAUCUUCAAGUCAUUUCACUAUGGGGAAGUACACCAUCUGCUCACUUGGGGGCAACUCACGUUAUCAAGGAGGCGUACAAUGACCCACAAAUCCAGCAAGAGUUCAAUGUCCGUGCGUGGGUAAAGAUCAAGUGUCCUUUUGACCCCGAAGAUUUCCUCAAGAGCCUGCUCACUCAGUUCUACGCCACCUCCUCCCACCAACCAAACCACAACAUCAACAAGUCAACAACACCACAAGAGCUCGAAUGGUGUGCAGAGAUGGUGGCACAAGCACGGAGCGACAAUCGGAGCUGGAUCGCACGGGCUACCAACCUAGUCCGCUCUAUGGCAUCCUCCACUUCUGACAUCAAAGCCAAGUUUACAGAUCGUAGGUAUCUCGUCAUCCUGGAAGAUGUACGCACUGUAGCAGAGUGGGAUGUCAUCAAGAUGUAUCUACCGUACACUAACAAGGGCAGCCGGAUUCUCGUGUUGACGGAACACCUGGGGCUUGCGCUUGGGCUUGCGCUUUCCUGCACAGGGAAGCCGUACCAAGUAUCAGAGCUUAGACAAUUCUCUCAUGGUCAAUCACUUUGUGCUUUUUUCAAUAAGGUUCCUGGGCGUCGUGGUGAUAUGAGUGAAAUUAGUUGGCAGUUAAGAUGUGGUGGUGUUAUCUGUGUGUGGGGAACUCGACAUAAAAAAUCAACUCUUGUUGAUGACGUGUACUCCAGCAUAACAAAUAAGUCGAAAGGCUUUGAUGUUGAUGGAGUAGAAUUUAAAAUACAAAGCUGGGUCGAUGUACCCAAACCGUUCAAUUUGGAGUGCUUCUCCAGACGCCUUCUUUUGAGUUUCUACUCUGAUGACUUUGGAGCCAAGGAAAUUUCGGUAGUGGAUAGGAUGGGAGACCAAGGUGUAACUCAACAGUGUCGCAGGUUUCUGCAUGAAGACAAAUGUCUUACCAUUAUUAAUGGUCUGGAGUCGGCGGGUGACUGGGACCAAAUAAAAUCUAUAGUUUUACCCCAGAAUAUUAGAGGAUGUAUCCUUGUCGCUGCAAAAGAUGAGUCUAUUGCCAGAUAUUGUGCUGACAAGCAAGAUCGUGCAAUCAACAUUAAAGAUUUGGAAGCCGACAUGAUUCUUUGUCACUCGGUAAAGAGUUGUCAACACUAUGCAAUUGGAGGCAAAGAGGCUUCUUACAGGGGUCAACUUUUCUCCAACAGAACAGAAGAGGCUGGCAUAUGGAUGAAUAAAUUUGGCCAUGUUGUGCGUUCGGAUUGUCUGGUUUGGGACGUUAAAUCAGCUUUGGAAUGCCCUGGAUUGAUCUCUUUAUGGGGGGCUGCUGGUGCUGGGAAAAUUCCUCUCGUUAGAUGUAUUUACUACAUCCAAAUGCUGACUAUGAACCAUGGACCUGGUUACAUAAUCGGUGGUGAAAAUCGUGGAAGAAUUUUCCUGAAAUAUACAAAGUUCAGCUGGGUCAAUGUGUCAUAUCCCUUUCAUUUGAAGGAAUUCUCUUGGAGAUUACUUUUGGAUUUUCAUUCUGAUGAUCUUGACGCCAAGGAAAAGGCCGCAUUUGGUAUGAUGAAAGGGGAUGACCCAACUCAAGGGUGUCGUGAAUUCAUGAAUCGACAUAGAUGCUUAGUUAUUAUUAAUGGUUUGUGCUCCACACAUGACUGGAACUUGAUAAGAGACACUCUGUUGCCAUUAGAGAAUAAUAAAAGUGCCAUCGUUAUUAUUACAAAUGAAGAAAGUGUCGCCACACAUUGUGCAUAUCACAGAGCUCAAGUGUUCAACAUUAAAGGUGCAGAAGCUGUAGAUGCACUCCGUCCAUUGAGAAAGGGUUGUGGAUACUCUGGAAAUGAACGCGAUGCAUCUUGCUUUUUUUCCAGUCGGAGGAAAGAGGCAGCUCACUGGAACAGCACAUUUGAACUUGUUGGCCGUCAAGAUAAAGCGGCUGGUGAGCUUAUGGAUCAUUUAUCGACUCAUGUUGGUUUGAUAUCUGUAUGGGGAAUUGCCGGUGUUGGGAAAUCAGUUAUUGUGAGAAGCGUCUACUAUAAAAUAUUGCUGGGUAUAGAACAAAUUGGUUUGGGUGGCGUGGGGCGUAGGGUUGAUAGUGAAAGCUUUACAUCUUUCAGCUGGGUUGACGUGCCAAAUCCAUUCAAUUUGACGGAAUUCUGUUGGCACUUACUUUUGGAUUUUCAUUCUGAUGACCUUGAAGCGAAGGAAACUGUGACAGUUGGCUUGAUUGAUGGCACUCUAGAUCCAAUUAUGCAAUGUCGCAAGUUUCUACGUAAGAAGUGCUUCGUUAUUAUUGAUGGUCUACUCUCUACACAUGUGUGGGACUUGAUAAGAGAUGCCCUGUUGCCUGCGACCAUUGAAGGCAUCAUUAUUGUCAUUGCGCAUGAAGAAAACAUCGCCACACAUUGUGUAGAACAUGCAUACCGGGUGGUUAACGCCAAGGGUCUAGAGGCUGGAGCAGCACUUUAUCUCUUUAGAAAGGUAGCUUUUGGCGGAAAGUCGUUGACUCCAAAGGAGACUAAAAUUUCAAAACUUACCAUGGCCAAGUGUGGAAGACUCCCCAAAUUAAUAGUUGCUAUAGGUGAACGAUGCCGCGCAUCCAAGGGGCACAAACGUAUACCUUUGUUGAAGAACUUAAACAAUCACUUCAUGGACAGACUGGAGACGGACUCAAGAUACCUAAGUUUAAGGGGUCUAUUUAGUUGGAUGCAGGCUUACUUUGAUGCUCUCUCAGAUGCACUCAAACCAUGUGUCUUCUAUCUCUCAGUCUUCUCUGCAGACUACAAUAUUAGGCGAAAAAGAUUGCUGAGGCGGUGGAUCGCUGAGGGCUACUCUAGGGAAAAUAUUGGAAUUAGCACGAAGGAGGACGGGGAAAUAUUGUUCUCCGAGCUGGUCAAUCUGAGCAUAAUCCAAGAACCACCAAGCAAGCCACCCAGGUGCUCGAGACGAAGCGUUUAUGCAUCAAAGGGCAAGGUUGAUGGCUUGUGCCAAGUCAACGGUUUCUUUCAUGGAUACAUCAUCUCACGACCAAUGGAAGAUAACCUUGUGUUUGAACUGGAGGGUUAUUCUAGUGCCAAUUUCAAACAAGUAGGACAACACCUCGCCAUAAGGAGCAGUUGGGACAGAGAUGAGAUUGUAUUUAAGAGCAUGGACUUGUCACGACUAAGGUCAUUGACAGUGUUUGGGGAGUGGAGAUCCUUUUUCAUUUCCAUAGAUAUAAACAUGAGGCUGCUUAGGGUGCUGGAUCUAGAAGACACAUUAGAUGUAAUAGAUGGUGACCUCGAGAAAAUAGGGAAGCUACUACCUCGUCUAAAGUUUCUGUCACUACGAGGAUGCAAAGAGAUUACCCGUCUCCCAGAUUCAUUGGGUAGAUUGAGGCAGUUACAGACUCUAGAUGUCAGAAACACCUGUAUUGUUAAGUUGCCACCGGCUAUCAUCAAGCUUCAUAAGCUACAAUACAUUCGUGCUGGCAGACUAGACGUCGCUCAUGAACCAAUGGAUAACCCAGGCGUACCAGCAGAAGAAGAGGACGAUUCUAUAUCAACAUCAUCAGAUGAGUAUUAUAUGUCAUCAUCAGAAGACAGCUUGACAUCAACAGAAGAUGACAAUGACACGGUCACAUCUUUAGCAACACCAAUAGCAGAUGUCACGAGCACAUGCCAACCGGAAGCAGCAACACCAGCAGUAGAUGAUGAUGACAUGAGUGGAAGCCAACAAGAAGCAGCAGCAGUAGAUGGCCAUGGCACGAGCAUAAACCAGCUUGAAGCAGCAGAUGUGGACCAGACAUCAACUACAAUAGCGCCAUGGAGGAGCAGGGCACACAACUUGAUGUUAUCCUAUUCUUGCAACUGGUUGUCUAAGAUGAAGAAGGAACAUCGUGGACGCCAAGGACUUGAUAAUAAUAAUGGCAUUGGUGUAAAGGUUCCUGCUGCAGGUAUUGGGAUUCUAACGGCCUUGCAUUCUCUUGGCGUUGUGAAUGUUAGUGGAACGAUUGGGAAGAAUAUCCUCAUGGAGAUGAAGAAGCUGUCCCAGUUGCGCAAGCUCGGGGUGUCCGGCAUCAAUCGAAAAAACUGGCAGGAUUUGUGUUCAACAAUAUCGUGCCUAGGCCAUCUCGAAUCCUUGUCGGUGCGACUCGAUCAUGUGCACAAGGGGAAACAGGAUUUGUGUUGUCUGAGUGACAUCUCCAAGCCCCCAAAGACACUGAAGAGCCUCAAGCUGUAUGGAGGAAAUGUACAUGUGUCGCCAGUUUGGAUGAAACAGCUUGGCAAUAUCACAAAGGCUCGUGUCGAUGAUCUUGAGUUGACAAUAUCAACGCAAGAGGAUAUAGACAACCUAAUGGAAGUUUCAUGUGCAGGUGCGUUUCGUCACCUUUGUAUCAUGCCGAUUCAAGAUGGUGAGCUUUGUUAUGGUCUAGAGGACAACCGAGGCUGGAGUGGGGAUUUGUACGAAGCCGCCAAAGUCCUCAAGAUAAACUGCGGCAGAUACAAGUUGGUGCUAGUUUUUGGAAUUUGGACAGCGGAAUACGCAGAGGUUCUGGUAUUUCAGUGCUCUAGUAGUGAGGCGUCUUUGGAGGUCUCUAGGCUAGAGAAGUUAUGGAAUCUCAAAGAAGUGUGGCUCAAGGGUUCCUACAGCGAAGCAGUCAAGCAACACUUGCAGCAGAAAGUUGACGACCUACCAGAGGGGAGGAGAAGAGUUGUCCUGAAGCUAGAGGAGACCCAACAGUCAGCUCCACCUACCCCUUCUGCGUGUCUGAGAUGCCUACGUGCAUGA